RNAcentral lists this ribosomal RNA (253 nucleotides) under uncultured bacterium. RNAcentral's name for it is "partial 16S ribosomal RNA". It matches the Rfam family "Bacterial small subunit ribosomal RNA", at positions 524 to 776 of the family's 1533-position model. The record is from RNAcentral.
GACAGAGGUGCCGAGCGUUAGGCGGAAUCACUGGGCUUAAAGCGUGUGUAGGCGGACCGUUAAGUACCUUGUGAAAUCCCCCGGCUCAACCGGGGAACGGCUGGGUAUACUGGCGGUCUUGAGCCAUCCAGGGGCAGUCGGAACAGACGGUGGGGCGGUGAAAUGCGUAGAUAUCGUCUGGAACGCCGAAGGUGAAAACAGACUGCUGGGGAUGCGCUGACGCUGAGACACGAAAGCCAGGGGAGCGAACGGG